This 221-nucleotide unclassified non-coding RNA is filed under the name uncultured Actinomycetes bacterium. RNAcentral's name for it is "uncultured actinobacterium contains 16S-23S intergenic spacer region". Lineage: Bacteria; Bacillati; Actinomycetota; Actinomycetes. The record is from RNAcentral.
UCCGGUUUGGCACCGGCAGUCUCCCUAGAGUUCCCGGCAUUAUCCGCUGGCAACUAAGGACAGGGGUUGCGCUCGUUGCGCCACUUAAGGCAACACCUCACGGCACGAGCUGACGACAGCCAUGCACCACCUGUAUACCGACCUUGCGGGGGCUACAUCUCUGUAGCUUUCCGGCAUAUGUCAAACCCAGGUAAGGUGGGGAUGACGUUUAGGAGCUCGAC